GACGAACGCUGGCGGCGUGCUUAACACAUGCAAGUCGAACGGAAAGGCCCUUCGGGGUACUCGAGUGGCGAACGGGUGAGUAACACGUGGGUGAUCUGCCCUGCACUUUGGGAUAAGCCUGGGAAACUGGGUCUAAUACCGAAUAGGACCACGCGCUUCAUGGUGUGUGGUGGAAAGCUUUUGCGGUGUGGGAUGGGCCCGCGGCCUAUCAGCUUGUUGGUGGGGUAAUGGCCUACCAAGGCGACGACGGGUAGCCGGCCUGAGAGGGUGACCGGCCACACUGGGACUGAGAUAUGGCCCAGACUCCUACGGGAGGCAGCAGUGGGGAAUAUUGCACAAUGGGCGCAAGCCUGAUGCAGCGACGCCGCGUGAGGGAUGACGGCCUUCGGGUUGUAAACCUCUUUCAAUAGGGACGAAGCGCAAGUGACGGUACCUAUAGAAGAAGCACCGGCCAACUACGUG
This 462-nucleotide ribosomal RNA is filed under the name uncultured bacterium. Its description in RNAcentral is "partial 16S ribosomal RNA". It matches the Rfam family "Bacterial small subunit ribosomal RNA", at positions 28 to 507 of the family's 1533-position model. The record is from RNAcentral.